Molecule: ribosomal RNA, 253 nt
Filed under: uncultured bacterium
Lineage: Bacteria
Description: partial 16S ribosomal RNA
Rfam family: Bacterial small subunit ribosomal RNA
Source: RNAcentral
UACGGAGGAUGCAAGCGUUAUCCGGAUUCAUUGGGCGUAAAGGGUGCGUAGGCGGCGCGGUAAGUCGGGUGUGAAAUCUUGGAGCUUAACUCCGAAACUGCAUUCGAUACUGCCGUGCUUGAGGACUGGAGAGGAGACUGGAAUUUACGGUGUAGCGGUGAAAUGCGUAGAUAUCGUAAGGAAGACCAGUGGCGAAGGCGGGUCUCUGGACAGUUCCUGACGCUGAGGCACGAAGGCCAGGGGAGCAAACGGG